This 408-nucleotide ribosomal RNA is filed under the name Acidobacteria bacterium Ellin7225. Its description in RNAcentral is "bacterial SSU rRNA". It matches the Rfam family "Bacterial small subunit ribosomal RNA", at positions 32 to 450 of the family's 1533-position model. Lineage: Bacteria; Pseudomonadati; Acidobacteriota. The record is from RNAcentral.
AAUCAACGCUGGCGGCGUGCCUAACACAUGCAAGUCGAACGAGAAAGUGGAGCAAUCCAUGAGUAAAGUGGCGCACGGGUGAGUAACACGUGACUAACCUACCCUUGAGUGGGGAAUAACUUCGGGAAACCGAGGCUAAUACCGCAUAACACCUACGGGUCAAAGGAGCAAUUCGCUUAAGGAGGGGGUCGCGGCAGAUUAGUUAGUUGGCGGGGUAAUGGCCCACCAAGACGGUGAUCUGUAUCCGGCCUGAGAGGGCGCACGGACACACUGGAACUGAAACACGGUCCAGACUCCUACGGGAGGCAGCAGUGGGGAAUUUUGCGCAAUGGGGGAAACCCUGACGCAGCAACGCCGCGUGGAGGAUGAAGUCCCUUGGGACGUAAACUCCUUUCGAUCGGGACGAUU